RNAcentral lists this long non-coding RNA (780 nucleotides) under Homo sapiens (human). RNAcentral's name for it is "HSALNT0401555". Lineage: Eukaryota; Metazoa; Chordata; Mammalia; Primates; Hominidae. The record is from RNAcentral.
UCGCGGGGCUGGCGGGGCUGGCGGGGCUGGCGGGGCUGGCGGCCUGGCCCACUCCCAGGCUGACAGGACAUCCAACCCUCUGGCUAUGGCAUCUUGGAGGAACAGGCAGGCCUUGAAAAUAGCAGAAAUUCCGAAUUCCCCUGCCCCGGGAGGACUCAAAGGACCCUGCUGAGGACAGAGCUGAUAUGGCCUCAGAAUAAAGAUGAGGGAAGACCAUCCCAAGGAAGACCCCUCUAGCCCAUGGCAAAAGGGCUGGAAUACGCAAGGAUUUGAAAAGCAAGUUUUGCUUUCCAUAUAAACCUAAGCAAGUCGCUUAAUCUGUGAGCCUCAACUACUUUACUUGUGCAAUGGGCAUGUUGCUGGUAGUGGUGAUAGCAGGGAGCCACCGAGAGAGCUUCCAAGUGUGCCAUCUAAGCCCUCCUCUGGGGAAGGGAAGCUCCUCUGGGGAAGGGAAACUGGACCCCCGGGAAAAUUUAUUCUCCCAGGGACGAACAUCCAGACAUUUCCCUGUAGGAGCCUCAGUGUGUUCAGAUGUUCACUGUCCAGUAGAAACAAGACAUCUAGGCAACUCUCCCAUCUCACCAAGCCUCUGCUCUCUUCUGUGGCCACUGUGGGGUUGUGAGAGUAAUGUCAAGACCCAACCCAAUUAGAACACAGGGAAUUUUGCCUGGGAAAGGGAGCCCUUCUACCCUACACCCCUGCUUUCUCUCUUCCAAGGAUCAGGUCUGAUUCAUGUCUGCAUCCUAAAGGCUACAAAUAAACUGUGUCCGGAAAGGAAAA